CAUCCUGCCCAGUGAAUUUAUUUCAACGGCCGCGGUAUCCUGACCGUGCAAAGGUAGCAUAAUCAUUUGCCUUUUAAUUGAAGGCUAGUAUGAAAGGACACACAAGAAUAAAACUGUCUCAUUUGGGCUAUCUUUAAACUGAUCUUUAGGUGAAGAAGCCUAAAUCCCCAUAAAGGACAAGAAGACCCUAUAGAGCUUUAUCAAUAAAAGUUAUCAUACUCAUUUAUUGAUUUGGUUGGGACAACCAAAAGACAAUAAUACCUCUUUUUUUCAAGAUACAACCCGCACCCAUAACUGAAAUAGAAUUUCAAGCUACCUUAGGGAUAACAGGCUAAUCCCACUAGAGAGACCACAUUGACAGUGGGGAUUGGCACCUCGAUGUUGGCUUAGUGUUACCAUUAGGCGCAGCCGCUUAAUCGA
Molecule: ribosomal RNA, 420 nt
Filed under: Perinereis shikueii
Lineage: Eukaryota; Metazoa; Annelida; Polychaeta; Phyllodocida; Nereididae
Description: partial 16S ribosomal RNA
Rfam family: Bacterial large subunit ribosomal RNA
Source: RNAcentral